AUUAGAUACCCUGGUAGUCCACGCAGUAAACGAUGAAUGCUAGAUGUCCGGGUCGAAUGAGACCUGGGUGUCACAGCGAAAGCGUUAAGCAUUCCACCUGGGGAGUACGCCGGCAACGGUGAAACUCAAAGGAAUUGACGGGGGCCCGCACAAGCGGAGGAACAUGUGGUUUAAUUCGAUGAUACGCGAGGAACCUUACCCGGGCUCAAACGUGGAAGGAAUGAGUGUGAAAGCAUUCAGUCCUCCGGGACUUUCCACGAGGUGCUGCAUGGUUGUCGUCAGCUCGUGCCGUGAGGUGUCGGCUUAAGUGCCAUAACGAGCGCAACCCCCAUCGACAGUUGCUAACAGGUAAAGCUGAGGACUCUGUCGAGACUGCCGGCGCAAGCUGUGAGGAAGGCGGGGAUGACGUCAAAUCAGCACGGCCCUUACGUCCGGGGCGACACACGUGUUACAAUGGCAGGGACAGCGGGAAGCCAUCCGGCGACGGAGAGCGGAACCCGAAAACCUGUCUCAGUUCGGAUUGGAGUCUGCAACCCGACUCCAUGAAGCUGGAUUCGCUAGUAAUCGCGCAUCAGCCACGGCGCGGUGAAUACGUUCCCGGGCCUUGUACACACCGCCCGUCAGGCCAUGGAAGCCGGGAGUGCCUGAAGUACGCGACCGCAAGGAGCGUCCUAAGGUAAAACUGGUGACUGGGGCUAAGUCGUAACAAGGUACC
RNAcentral lists this ribosomal RNA (715 nucleotides) under uncultured bacterium. RNAcentral describes it as "bacterial SSU rRNA". It matches the Rfam family "Bacterial small subunit ribosomal RNA", at positions 777 to 1500 of the family's 1533-position model. The record is from RNAcentral.